UAUCUUUGCAGUUCAUUGAGCUCUAUUAUAUGGUUCAAAGCCAUCCUUGUCUUCGUUACAGGGGUGAAGCCUGUAAAGUUCCAAACCUGCAAAUUGCUCCAUGUGGGAGGGAGAGCCUAGGAAAUUGGGAAGUGAAGAGAAGAAUCCUCCAUAGCAUGCCAGAGGCCUUGGUGGCUGCAGACUAUCUAUGCUUUCUUUAGCAUAGUGUAAAUGAGGGCAGACACACUAUAGAUAUAAAAACCUAAGCAACCAUAAGUGGAAGUUUAUUUCAAGAAGCCAUGAUUCUGGAAGGUGCUGAAAUGACAUAAAAUUCAAGACUUUGGAAUAGUUCAAAAUCGGGCUUCCUGGAAAUAAUGGCAACUCAUAUUGAAGUCUGCAUCAAAACUCAGUGAUGAAUUCUGGAAGACAUGUAAAAAUCUGGAAACUUUGCACCAGGCUCUGGAAGCAGCACGAACUGACAACAGUCGCCUCCAUGAGGAAAGUGAGUUAGUGGUUGCAAAUGUUAAUCAGUGGAUCAAAGAACAAAAAUCCCUCAGCCUCUAUUGAUUGCAGUGCCUUCACAGAACACUGCAAUGCAAACCUAGUCCAACAUACCUUCAUGGACCAUUCCAAUAUGAAGCAUUUGCAUGAUGAACUUAUGGUUGAAGUUCUGGACAGGGCCACCAAGUAGUCCAGUAUCAAAAACAGAAGGACCGAUGGCUAGAGCAAAGGCAUGGCAAGAGACAAGGCUGAGACUGGUUGCACAGCUUGAGGACAGGGUUCAGUGUGGGAGCAGGCACUUGCUCCACAGUUCCUAGAACAGGAAAGGUGGCUAAGAAAGGAAGACAGAGCUCAGCAGAAAGAACUGUUUGAGUGGCUGAUAUCAAUUAUGUCUGCAAGAUUACCUGCUUCUGCUGCAUCACCCACAACAUAGCCUGCCUGGUAUUUUGGGAUUCAGUCCAGAAACAGCUUGGAAAACUUCAUGGCUGGGUAGCCCAUUCAAUCGGACUCCAUGACUGGCUGGGCAGGGCAACUUUGCCCCAUGCUGUCCUCCAUAUUUGCCUCCUACUCUGUGGAUGCUUCUACCCUCUCCCAUCAUGUCAAGUGCACAGCAAAUGGAGAAAGAAGGGAAAGGAGAAUGGGGAAGGGAGGCAAGGAAUGUGCAAUGGUAGGGGGUUUCCAUCUUGUACUUGGUUUCGCUGUUUACACUUGUUCAGGCACUUUUUGUUUGUUUUGUUUUUUCUGUUAGGUUGUGUUGUUACUGGUGUUUUAGUGUGAUAAUCACAGAUGGCCUGCCUAGCCAUGGUUGAAUGUUGUACUUUUUCUAAUACUUAUUUAUAAGUAAAGCUUUUUAUGUAUUGCUAUCACUUCCUAUAUCAUAAGUGUAUUUAAAAUAAUAAAAGUAAACAAAUGAUCUGGAACAAUUAGAAAUUAGUAUGCAAACCCUAUUCCUCUAUACAGUUAGAUACCUCAGUCCACACACCAAUCACUUCUUUAUAUGAAUCCAUACUGUAAAUCCCCACCACCACCACAUAUUUCAUAAAUGGCCAUAUCAUUCAUAAGUAUAUUGCAUGGCAAUAAAGCCCCCUCCCCAAUGAACUGAACCUGCUUCCCAAAUUAAUGAUCCCCAGACCCAGCUCCCACAGGUAUGUUAUUAAAGAUAUUCACCCCCUCUUUCAUUGGGCCAUGCAAGUCCAUAAUGUGGGGGCACAAAGCAUCUCUGACUUCUGUGGCCCUGGUGCAUCCAGCUCCAGCUAUGGUAGAUGCACUUUCUAACUGAGUGUAUCAAUUCAGUGACCCCUCACUGUCAUAGGUGCAUUCAGGGGGAAAUGGCUCACCUCUGGCUUCAUAAAGAUUGUGAAGAGUACAGCAAGCUGCAGUAAUUCAGACAGCAGUGAUGACACUGGCAUCCAAACAUGUCCAUAAAUAUCUCAAAUGAGAUUUCAGUCUGCCAAAAGCACAUUCAACAACCGGUCUACACCUGCUGAGAGCAUAAUUAAACUGUCUUUUGCCAGGGCCUCUGAAAUUAGGUUUCACAAGCCCACGCAAAAGGAAGUACAUGGGAUCCCCCAGUUACUGCUGGGGACAGUAACUCCAUUUAUAACAAUUUAAUUUGAUCAGAUUAGUCUUCCAGCCUGUCCAUGAAUGUAGACAUCUGCUCAGCAAAAAACCCUGGCAUAAUGAACUUUCCCAGUGCAGUCCAUGUUUAUAUAUAUAUAAAUGGAUCUCUGUGGUUUAUGGGGACCUGUAUAAGAAUGGAGUAGUACCUUUUGCAGUUUAUGUACCAUGUGUUCCUUGAAGAGGGGGAACUAUAGGCACAUGAGUCCCACCAAGGGCCCCAGCACAGUCUGGAAACCCUAUUCUCACAAAGCUAGCAGUUACUUCAGGAAUAUCCUUUAUGCCUGCCACCUUAGGGUAAACUGCACCCCUGAUUGCCUCAGAAACUUCCAGUACCACUUUACCCAGAGGCAACUUCUCAACCCCAAACUGAUUAGCAACAGACCCAUAGAAGUCAAGGGUAGCCAGCUUCCAGACAGCUAUAGCAGCCCACUUCUGGACUGGCAAGGGUAUCCUCAUGCAUGUGUCAUUAUGCUGGAGGGUUGGGGCAAGCUGCGCAGAAAGCACCAGAAAUGUAACUUUCUUCCUGUGAACAUUCUGGUUGCACUGCUGGUCAUCUCAGGUCGGUGUGAUGAUGUGAUCCCACCAAUCUAUGCUUCUGGCCCUGCAACAUAUCAAUUUGCAGUGUUAGUGCUCGCUUAGUGGGGGUUUGAUGGAGUAGUACCAUUCUAUUUACUUAUUCACUCAUCUGUUCAUUCUUCCUGUUUUUGUUUUAUUUAAUAUAUCUUUUUGUUCUGUUUACUAUUCUUUUACUCUGUGAUCUGUGGAGGUAAUUAAAAAAAUUAAGAAUGCUAAAUCAAUAUUACCAAUGUGGUUGAAUUUUGCUUAUGAUAUUAACUGUCUUUUAAAGGUUUAUACUUCAUAUACAUUGUUGUCUUUUUAUUUGGAAAGUCAUUUAAAUGUCUUCAAAGAACUGCUGAAUUGUUUAUUGAUCUCAUAAUUAUAUAUUUCUUGGUACUUCUGAUGACUUUCUCUUUGCGUUACAUUAUUUUAAAAUAAUGUAAUAAAAUAUUAAAGAAAAAAUGAAAAUAGAGGCCUAAGAAUAGAUCCCUGAGGCUCCUCCAUUUGAAAAGCUCCUAUAUCAGAGUGGUUGUGUACAAUUCCUCAAGUAAUCUGCAAACCUCUUCAUGGAGUCUCCUAUGAGCCUACAGUCUCUGAGUAUUGGCGUAUUUAUGGUUGAUAAAAAUUGCUCCUGCAACUAUGUUCCUCAUCUAUUGAAUUAGAGAUGUCAUUGGUGAUGUUAAGUCGAGAGCUGUAUCGGUAAAAUGAGAAGCUCUGAAGUUUGACUAUGUUGUAAUCAGAAGAGUCUACAACUGCAGGUGUUUGAGAUCUGUGAACAUGAUCUUUUUCAAGUAUUUUUUGUCAAACCAGAAUGUGUGUCUAUCAAUACUGUUUGUUUUUGUUUUUUCACUUUUUCCUUUAGAUCAGGAACUGUUAUGGCCCUCUUCCAAACAGAUGAAAGAUCUUGCUUGAAAAUGGGAGCAAUAAUUUAAAAAUAUCAGUUAGUGCCUUAAUUAUUGAUAAUGAAGCCAGUUUAAAGAACUUCAGAACUCUAAUCAUAUGGAGUACUGUCAUGGAUGGAUAUAAACUGUUCAAGAAGGACAGGCAGGGCAGAAAAGGUGGGGGAGUUGCAUUGUAUGUAAGAGAGUAGUAUGACUGCUCAGAGCUCCAGUAUGAAACUGGAGAAA
Dermochelys coriacea (leatherback sea turtle) is the source of this 3785-nucleotide long non-coding RNA. RefSeq lists it as uncharacterized. The transcript has 5 exons. The record is from RefSeq and is a predicted model, not a curated record. Lineage: Eukaryota; Metazoa; Chordata; Testudines; Dermochelyidae.